This 1345-nucleotide long non-coding RNA is filed under the name Anser cygnoides (Swan goose). RNAcentral's name for it is "lncRNA (ENSACDG00005000867.1)". Lineage: Eukaryota; Metazoa; Chordata; Aves; Anseriformes; Anatidae. The record is from RNAcentral.
AUGCGUGUGCACAUGUGCCUGUGUCCAUGUUCCCAUGUCUGUCCACACAGACGACACUGUGCAGUUGUGUCCAAGCCCUUUCAUUGCCUCAUAGGAUCACAGAACAGUUUGGGUUGGGANNNNNNNNNNNNNNNNNNNNCCCUCAAUUUUCUUUCUUUUAAUGGCAGCUCUGCUGGUCUCAGCAUCCUUGGUGAGGGAAGGCCACAGCCAUCCAUGCCACCUCUCUUGGCACCCAGAAACCAGGGCUCUGCUGCCAUGGGGAGGCCAACACAGAGAUGUCGGAGACAAGUGGUGUCUUGGACGCGGCUUGAAGUCACAGGUGACUCUGAGGAUGAUCAGCAAUAAUGCAGCCAAAUGACUCUUCCGUUGUAGAUCCCUUGAAGUCAAUGUUGUUACCCCAACAUAAAAUUUAACCCAGGACACUUCCUGCACAUUCCUGGGCAGCACUUAUCGGAACACGGUGAGAUUCUCAUCUCCUCUGCUUCAAGUCUUACUGUCUGUAUGCAGCACAUCUGCACACAGGAAAAUUAAACUCACAGCUGUCAAAGCUGUUGCAGAUCCCCUUCUCUCUUGCUUGCAUCAGGGAUGACCAUAGCCUGUUGCAUCUCACUCCCUCCCAUUUCAAUUAGAAACACGUACGCAUUUUCCUUGGGAUUUUAUAAAACUUCCAUUGCAGGUCUCAUGGUAAGUCAGGUCAGUCAAAAGCAGGGACAAACUCGGGACACAGGGAGGGACUGCAGCAGGGUUCACAUGUUCUGGAUUCUAAUCUUGUCCUGCCACACGUAUGAGUCACCCUCGUUAUUUCCACCAGCAAAAUGGUAAGAACAAGGGAGCCCUUUUUUUCUGCAGCCUAGUGAGGUCUGCAGAAAAAAUCAUUGGUCGCUGUUGAGGUUCAAUCUGAAAUUCUGCCACUGAAAACCAUUUUGUGAAGAACUGUAUUUGCAGGCUCUCCCUUUAAGCUGCAGGCAUGUGACCUGCAUGCAGGUAGUGUGUGCCACUUCCUUGGGAUCAGCACACUGCUACUCUGCUUCCUAGAGGCAAGUCCCUCUUCCUCUUCUUGCAGCGUGUAUAAAUGUGCCAUUCGAAAAGUUAUGAGCUUUUUAUUGUCACUUGUGGAGUGAGAUAUUGAACCAUCGAAGUGCUUAUUCAUUUCUGUUUAUCUGAUUGUCGUAAUGUUUCUAAACUGCCAGUUGAAGGUAAGAGAUAAACUCCAGCCAGCCUCAGACUUAAAGGCGCCUUUGACGUAGCUAGGUUUUUUCAUUAGAGGAUGAUAUAUUAUUUAUUGACCCACACAGGGUCACCUGGAAAUACUUCAUGCAGGGAAUCAAAAGGGAAGAAGAGUAAA